Molecule: long non-coding RNA, 513 nt
Organism: Zingiber officinale
Lineage: Eukaryota; Viridiplantae; Streptophyta; Magnoliopsida; Zingiberales; Zingiberaceae
Exons: 2
Source: RefSeq, a predicted model, not a curated record
GAUUAGGAUUUAAUUGACCUAGGUAUUUAAACCUAUCCUUACCCGUUUCUCACGCACCCUUUCUCAAAUUCGUCGACUCCACGCUUCGCACGACGAUCUGCGACGGAACUCUCCACCGAGGAUCGGGAGUCCGGCCAAGCAGCUCCUCACGUCGGCGAGCUUGCGGGGAACGACAAGUGGGCGAGGAGACUAUCGACCAACACAUCUGCGGCGCGGCUACAGCUAGGGUGAGGGCUUCAACAGAGGGACGCGGAAGUGAAGGCAAGUUCAAUCCCUAUGAUAUUUGAGAGAUCUAUGAGGUGAGGAUGACUCUCAAGAUAUGAUGGAAGACCUUUAGACGGAGUAGACGAGGAGGCGAGAUGAACGCAUGGUACUGCCCGAAUGUCUAAGAGUGCAGAGCAUACUGGUUUCAUUGUGAGAGAUUUUUUUUUAUUAUAUGUAAAGAGGGAUGUUUGGGGAUUAUUGUCCUUAUUCAUUAAACUCCUAAUCGAUGCAGUCAUUUCCUUUGGUUAA